AAGUCUUAUCUCAAGUCGCUGCAUUCUCGGCUGAAGCAUGUAAACAAAUCGGCACUGCUGCGACUUUUGACGGCGAUUAAAAGAGACGUUAUUGGAUCAUGCGACAGCAGUCCGCCGGUAGCCGGAGCCAGCCGCGGUCUCGCACACGACGUGGGGUUUCUGUCGAUGGUCAAGGAACGAAAGGCGCUACGGUCAGCCGGGUGAUGCCUGCCGUUGCCGGAAGUCAGGUGGAUAGAGCGAGCUCGGGCGUGUAAGAAGUCGCUCAAGGAUGACCAGGCACCACAAGGAAGUGAACAAAGGGCAAGCAAACGAAGGGCAAGCGCACUUUGACUGUUGCACUUAUUGUUCAUAAAUGAU
Long non-coding RNA from Rhipicephalus sanguineus (brown dog tick), 357 nucleotides. RefSeq lists it as uncharacterized. The transcript is spliced from 3 exons. The record is from RefSeq and is a predicted model, not a curated record. Lineage: Eukaryota; Metazoa; Arthropoda; Arachnida; Ixodida; Ixodidae.